GCGCAGCAGGCGAGAAACCUCCGCAAUACACGAAAGUGUGACGGGGCCAUCCCGAGUGCCGUCCGCUGAGGACGGCUUUUCCCCAGUGUACACAGCUGGGGGAAUAAGGAGAGGGCAAGCCUGGUGUCAGCCGCCGCGGUAAUACCAGCUCUCCGAGUGGUGGGGACGCUUAUUGGGCCUAAAGCAUCCGUAGCCGGCUGGGCAAGUCCUCCGUUAAAUCCAACGAUUCAAUCGUUGGGCUGCGGGGGAUACUGUCCAGCUUGGGGGCGGGAGAGGCCGACGGUAUUCCCGGGGUAGGGGUGAAAUCCUAUAAUCCCGGGAGGACCACCAGUGGCGAAGGCUGUCGGCUAGAACGCGCCCGACGGUGAGGGAUGAAAGCGUGGGGGAGCGAACCGGAUUAGAUACCCGGGUAGU
RNAcentral lists this ribosomal RNA (414 nucleotides) under uncultured microorganism. RNAcentral's name for it is "bacterial SSU rRNA". It matches the Rfam family "Archaeal small subunit ribosomal RNA", at positions 330 to 745 of the family's 1478-position model. The record is from RNAcentral.